Molecule: ribosomal RNA, 805 nt
Filed under: uncultured fungus
Lineage: Eukaryota; Fungi
Description: eukaryotic LSU rRNA
Rfam family: 5.8S ribosomal RNA (bases 352-505)
Source: RNAcentral
UUGGUCAUUUAGAGGAAGUAAAAGUCGUAACAAGGUUUCCGUAGGUGAACCUGCGGAAGGAUCAUUAUUGAAUAUAAACUUGGAUAGACUGCUGCUGGCUUCUCUUUGAGGGGCAUGUGCACGUUUGUCCUCUUUAUUUUUCCACCUGUGCACCUUUUGUAGGCUUGGAUUAUCACUGGUUCUAUAAUGUGUCUUUCAAAGGCAUAAGAAUUGUCUUGGGGCUGCUGUGUUUAAACCCAUGUUUAUCAGCUUUCCCUUUUAUUUUCCAAGUCUAUGUUUGCUAUAUACACUCCAGAAAUGUAAUAGAAUGCUGUACUUUAGGUCAUUUGUACCUAUAAUAAAAAUCAGUACAACUUUCAGCAACGGAUCUCUUGGCUCUCGCAUCGAUGAAGAACGCAGCGAAAUGCGAUAAGUAAUGUGAAUUGCAGAAUUCAGUGAAUCAUCGAAUCUUUGAACGCAUCUUGCGCUCCCUGGUAUUCCAAGGAGCAUGCCUGUUUGAGUAUCAUUAAAUUAUCAACUGUGCCAAUUUGGUUACAGAUUGGAUGUGGGAGAUUUCUUGCAGGCUUUUGACUUUCUCUUUGAGAAGGAAAAGAAAAAAAGCCAGCUCUCCUGAAAUGUAUUAGCAGUGCCUUUGUUGGUUCAUUAGGUGUGAUAAUUUAUCUACAUCUUCAAAUGGUACCUUCAUUUGUAAAGGUCAUAUUGCUUCUAAUUGUCUUUGGGACAAAACACGUAUAAUGCGUGACAGACUUGAUCUCAAAUCAGGCAGGACUACCCGCUGAACUUAAGCAUAUCAAUAAGCGGAGGA